RNAcentral lists this ribosomal RNA (1461 nucleotides) under uncultured bacterium. Its description in RNAcentral is "16S ribosomal RNA". It matches the Rfam family "Bacterial small subunit ribosomal RNA". The record is from RNAcentral.
GAUGAACGCUAGCGGCAGGCUUAAUACAUGCAAGUCGAGGGGUAACAGUUAAGUAGCAAUACUUGAGCUGACGACCGGCAAACGGGCGCGGAACGCGUGCGAAACCUUCCCUUAUCUGGGAGAUAGCCCGAAGAAAUUCGGAUUAAUAUCCCAUAAUAUAAUGAAGUGGCAUCACUUUAUUAUUAAAACUCCGGUGGAUGAGGAUGGUCGCGCGUAUGAUUAGGUAGUUGGCGGGGUAACGGCCCACCAAGCCUUCGAUCAUUAGCUGAUGUGAGAGCAUGAUCAGCCACACGGGCACUGAGACACGGGCCCGACUCCUACGGGAGGCAGCAGUAAGGAAUAUUGGUCAAUGGACGCAAGUCUGAACCAGCCAUGCCGCGUGAAGGAUUAAGGUCCUCUGGAUUGUAAACUUCUUUUAUAGGGGGCGAAACACUUUUUUUCUAAAGAGCUUGACAGUACCCUAUGAAUAAGCACCGGCUAACUCCGUGCCAGCAGCCGCGGUAAUACGGAGGGUGCAAGCGUUAUCCGGAUUUACUGGGUUUAAAGGGUGCGUAGGCGGAUGCCUAAGUCCGAGGUGAAAUCUUGCCGCUUAACGGUAAAAUGGCCUUGGAUACUGGGUGUCUUGAAUCUGACAGAGGUCGGUGGAAUUCGUGGUGUAGCGGUGAAAUGCAUAGAUAUCACGAAGAACAUCAGUGGCGAAGGCGGCCGGCUGGGUCAGUAUUGACGCUGAGGCACGAGAGCGUGGGGAGCGAACAGGAUUAGAUACCCUGGUAGUCCACGCUGUAAACGAUGUAUGCUAGUUGUUGGGCCUUCGGGUUCAGUGACGCAGUUAACGCAGUAAGCAUACCACCUGGGGAGUACGUUCGCAAGAAUGAAACUCAAAGGAAUUGACGGGGGCCCGCACAAGCGGUGGAGCAUGUGGCUUAAUUCGAUGCAACGCGAAGAACCUUACCCGGGCUAAAUCCUGGCCGACCGCCCCCGAAACGGGGCUUCCCUUCGGGGCGACCAGGAAGGUGCUGCAUGGCUGUCGUCAGCUCGUGCCGUGAGGUGUUGCCUUAAGUGGCGCAACGAGCGCAACCCCUGUGGUUAGUUACCAGCACGUAAUGGUGGGGACUCUAGCCAGACUGCCUACGCAAGUAGUGAGGAAGGUGGGGACGACGUCAAGUCAUCAUGGCCCUUAUGUCCGGGGCUGCACACGUGCUACAAUGGAUGGUACAGGGGGAAGCUACCCAGCGAUGGGAUGCAGAUCUCGAAAGCCAUUCCCAGUUCGGAUUGGAGUCUGCAACUCGACUCCAUGAAGGUGGAAUCGCUAGUAAUCGCGUAUCAGCAAUGACGCGGUGAAUACGUUCCCGGGCCUUGUACACACCGCCCGUCAAGCGAUGGAAGUCAGGAGUACCUGAUGUCACCGUGCUAAUCCGCCUUUGGCGGAAGGCAGGUGCCUAGGGUAAGCUUGGUAACUGG